Molecule: transfer RNA, 88 nt
Filed under: Methanohalobium evestigatum Z-7303
Lineage: Archaea; Methanobacteriati; Methanobacteriota; Methanomicrobia; Methanosarcinales; Methanosarcinaceae
Also listed under: 1 other name
Description: tRNA-Leu (GAG) (tRNA-Leu-GAG-1-1)
Rfam family: tRNA
About the family: Transfer RNA (tRNA) molecules are approximately 80 nucleotides in length. Their secondary structure includes four short double-helical elements and three loops (D, anti-codon, and T loops).
Source: RNAcentral
GCGGGGGUUGCCGAGCCCGGCCAAAGGCGCUAGGUUGAGGGCCUAGUUCCGUAGGGAUACGCGAGUUCGAAUCUCGUCCCCCGCACCA